This 441-nucleotide ribosomal RNA is filed under the name uncultured bacterium. RNAcentral's name for it is "bacterial SSU rRNA". It matches the Rfam family "Bacterial small subunit ribosomal RNA", at positions 28 to 515 of the family's 1533-position model. The record is from RNAcentral.
GAUGAACGCUGGCGGCGUGCUUAACACAUGCAAGUCGAACGAACCUUCGGGUUAGUGGCGGACGGGUGAGUAACGCGUGAGAAUCUGCCCUCAGGAGGGGGACAACAGCUGGAAACGGCUGCUAAUACCCCAUAUGCCGCGAGGUGAAAUGAAUUUCGCCUGAGGAUGAGCUCGCGUCUGAUUAGCUAGUUGGUGUAGGUAAUGGCUCACCAAGGCAUCGAUCAGUAGCUGGUCUGAGAGGAUGAUCAGACACACUGGGACUGAGACACGGGCCAGACUCCUACGGGAGGCAGCAGUGGGGAAUUUUUCGCAAUGGGCGAAAGCCUGACGGAGCACCGCCGCGUGAGGGAUGAAGGGCUCUGGGCUGUAAACCUCUUUUAUCAAGGAAGAAGAUCUGACGGUACUUGAUGAAUAAGGCACGGCUAAUUCCGUGCCAGCAGA